AUUGAACGCUGGCGGCAUGCCUUACACAUGCAAGUCGAACGGCAGCACGGACUUCGGUCUGGUGGCGAGUGGCGAACGGGUGAGUAAUGUAUCGGAACGUACCUUUCAGUGGGGGAUAACGUAGCGAAAGUUACGCUAAUACCGCAUAUUCUGUGAGCAGGAAAGCAGGGGAUCGAAAGACCUUGCGCUGAUUGAGCGGCCAAUAUCAGAUUAGCUAGUUGGUGGGGUAAAGGCCUACCAAGGCGACGAUCUGUAGCGGGUCUGAGAGGAUGAUCCGCCACACUGGAACUGAGACACGGUCCAGACUCCUACGGGAGGCGGCAGUGGGGAAUUUUGGACAAUGGGGGCAACCCUGAUCCAGCCAUGCCGCGUGAGUGAAGAAGGCCUUCGGGUUGUAAAGCUCUUUCGGCCGGGAAGAAAUCGCAUAGGCUAAUACCCUGUGUGGAUGACGGUACCGGAAUAAGAAGCACCGGCUAACUACGUG
This 484-nucleotide ribosomal RNA is filed under the name uncultured bacterium. RNAcentral's name for it is "partial 16S ribosomal RNA". It matches the Rfam family "Bacterial small subunit ribosomal RNA", at positions 30 to 507 of the family's 1533-position model. The record is from RNAcentral.